This 1240-nucleotide ribosomal RNA is filed under the name metagenome. RNAcentral's name for it is "bacterial LSU rRNA". It matches the Rfam family "Bacterial large subunit ribosomal RNA", at positions 1564 to 2813 of the family's 2925-position model. The record is from RNAcentral.
UGAGUACAAGAUGCUACGGCAUUGAAGCAGUCUAUGUCAUACUUCCAAGAAAAGCUUGCAAUGUCAUAAACAAAUAAUGCCUGUACCAUAACCGACACAGGUGGGUAGGUAGAGUAUACUAAGGGGCGCGAGAUAACUCUCUCUAAGGAACUCGGCAAAAUGACUCCGUAACUUCGGGAGAAGGAGUACCUUAUUUUAUAAGGUUGCAAUAACAAGGUCCAAGCAACUGUUUACCAAAAACACAGGUCUCCGCUAAGUCGUAAGACGAUGUAUGGGGGCUGACGCCUGCCCAGUGCCAGAAGGUUAAAGAAGUUGGUUAGCAUUAGCGAAGCUGAUAACUGAAGCCCUGGUGAACGGCGGCCGUAACAAUAACGGUCCUAAGGUAGCGAAAUUCCUUGUCGGGUAAGUUCCGACCCGCACGAAAGGCGUAAUGAUUUGGAUACUGUCUCGGAGAGGGGCUCGGUGAAAUAGACUUGUCUGUGAAGAUGCGGACUACCUGCACCUGGACAGAAAGACCCUAUGAAGCUUUACUGUAACUUGAGAUUGAAAUUGGACUUUAUUUGCGCAGUAUAGGUGGGAGACCUCGAAAGUAUUCUUGCGGGAAUAUUGGAGUCAUCAGUGAGAUACCACUCUUAUAAUGUUAGAUUUCUAACUUUGUAUCAUUAUCUGGUCAAAGAACAGUUUCAGGCGGGCAGUUUGACUGGGGCGGUCGCCUCCCAAAUGGUAACGGAGGCGCACAAAGGUUUCCUCUGAACGUGUAGAAAUCGUAUCUAGAGUGUAAAGGCAUAAGGAAGCUUGACUGUGAGACCUACAAGUCGAGCAGGGACGAAAGUCGGUCUUAGUGAUCUGACGGUGCUGAGUGGAAAGGCCGUCACUCAACGGAUAAAAGUUACUCUAGGAUAACAGGCUGAUCUCCCCCAAGAGUUCACAUCGACGGGGAGGUUUGGCACCUCGAUGUCGGCUCAUCGCAUCCUGGGGCGGUAGUACGUCCCAAGGGUUGGGCUGUUCGCCCAUGAAAGCGGUACGCGAGCUGGGUUCAGAACGUCGUGAGACAGUUCGGUCCAUAUCCGGUGUAGGCGUUAGAAUAUUGAGAGGAGCCUUCUUUAGUACGAGAGGACCGAGAAGGACAUACCUCUGGUGUACCAGUUAUCGUGCCAACGGUAAACGCUGGGUAGCUAUGUAUGGAGAGGAUAACCGCUGAAAGCAUCUAAGUGGGAAGCCCACCUCAAGAUAAGUAUUC